AGAGUUUGAUCAUGGCUCAGGAUGAACGCUGGCGGUAUGCCUAACACAUGCAAGUCGUACGAGAGUUUUUAACUCUAGUGGCGGACGGGUGAGUAACACGUGAGAAUUUACCUUUAGGAGGGGGAUAACAAUUGGAAACGAAUGCUAAUACCCCAUAUGCUUCAGAGUGAAAUGGAUUUAUAUUUAUCCGCCUAAAGAGAAGCUCGCGGCUGAUUAGCUUGUUGGUAAGGUAAGAGCUUACCAAGGCGACGAUCAGUAUCUGGUUUGAGAGGACGAUCAGACACACUGGAACUGAGACACGGUCCAGACUCCUACGGGAGGCAGCAGUGGGGAAUUUUCCGCAAUGGGCGAAAGCCUGACGGAGCAAUACCGCGUGAGGGAAGACUGCCUAUGGGUUGUAAACCUCUUUUUUCAGGGAGGAAUAAAAUGACGUGUACCUGAAGAAUAAGCAUCGGCUAACUCCGUGCCAGCAGCCGCGGUAAGACGGAGGAUGCAAGUGUUAUCCGGAAUCACUGGGCGUAAAGCGUCUGUAGGUGGUUUAAUAAGUCAACUGUUAAAUCUUGAGGCUCAACUUCAAAAUCGCAGUCGAAACUAUUAGACUAGAGUAUAGUAGAGGUAAAGGGAAUUUCCAGUGGAGCGGUGAAAUGCGUAGAUAUUGGAAAGAACACCGAUGGCGAAAGCACUUUACUGGGCUAUUACUAACACUCAGAGACGAAAGCUAGGGUAGCAAAUGGGAUUAGAUACCCCAGUAGUCCUAGCCGUAAACUAUGGAUACUAGAUGUUGAACAGAUCGACCUGUGCAGUAUCAAAGCUAACGCGUUAAGUAUCCCGCCUGGGAAGUAUGCUCGCAAGAGUGAAACUCAAAGGAAUUGACGG
This 876-nucleotide ribosomal RNA is filed under the name uncultured bacterium. Its description in RNAcentral is "bacterial SSU rRNA". It matches the Rfam family "Bacterial small subunit ribosomal RNA", at positions 8 to 916 of the family's 1533-position model. The record is from RNAcentral.